Molecule: ribosomal RNA, 393 nt
Filed under: uncultured bacterium
Lineage: Bacteria
Description: bacterial SSU rRNA
Rfam family: Bacterial small subunit ribosomal RNA
Source: RNAcentral
UGAGGAAUAUUGGACAAUGGAUGGAAAUCUGAUCCAGCCAUGCCGCGUGCAGGAAGACGGCCCUAUGGGUUGUAAACUGCUUUUGUAUGGGAGCAAUAAGGACUACGUGUAGUUUGAUGAGAGUACCAUACGAAUAAGCAUCGGCUAACUCCGUGCCAGCAGCCGCGGUAAUACGGAGGAUGCGAGCGUUAUCCGGAUUUAUUGGGUUUAAAGGGUGCGUAGGCGGCGAUAUAAGUCAGUGGUGAAAUAUUUCGGCUUAACCGAGAGACUGCCAUUGAUACUGUGUUGCUAGAAUAUGGUUGCUUUCAGUGGAAGGUGUGGUGUAGCGGUGAAAUGCUUAGAUAUCACACAGAAUAUCGAUUGCGAAGGCAGCUCAUAAAGCCAUUAUUGACG